This 8922-nucleotide long non-coding RNA is filed under the name Citrus maxima (pomelo). Its description in RNAcentral is "long non-coding RNA (CMAX_LNC000063)". The record is from RNAcentral. Lineage: Eukaryota; Viridiplantae; Streptophyta; Magnoliopsida; Sapindales; Rutaceae.
AGGGAGCAGCACUGGGGGAAUGAAAGAGACGCAAGAGAUGAUUGAUUUUGCAGCAAAACACAAUAUAACAGCUGACAUUGAGGUUAUUUCGAUGGAUUAUGUCAAUACGGCAAUGGAGCGGCUCGCCAAGGCUGAUGUUCGGUAUCGAUUUGUCAUUGAUAUUGCAAACACCUUGGCCGCCACCAAACCUUGAAGAAUCAGAAUCAGAAUCAGAUUGGUGUCUUCAAUUCACAACUUUGUUCCAUGAUCCACUUUGCUAUAUGUAAUGCUCCCUCGAUCAUUACACUCUUUUAGCGCUUAAAUUACUUUUAAUUUCCAGUUACAUCACCCUAAUUAUGUCGUGAUUGCCAAAAAACUAUAAAUGUUAAUGAAAUAAAACAUUGUUCAUAUAAAAUAUUUAGCAUAUGUACCUUUCACCAAUUGUCCAGUUGAAAAGUUUGUUUUGUUCUAAAUCACAUAUAGAGUUUUGCUCUCAUGCGGCACUUUUCAUUUUUUUUUUCUUCUCGUACCAACACUAUCAAGUCGUAUAAUUCAAUAAAAUUAGUAUAGAUGGCAGAAAUCUAUAAAAUCAUAUUUGCAAAGGUAUGUAGCAACAGCAGCGUCUAGGUUCCUCUGACCUUGAACAAAAAUAUACGAUUGUCCUAAAUGGCUCAUGAAUUCAUAUCACAAUUUUCAACGCUGCAUAUAUGUUUUCCAACAGAAAAUUUCUCUGGAUUAGGGUUUAGUGUUAUGUUAAAUUUUUAUCGAGUAUUGAAUCAAUCAUUGAAUUAAUAGUUAAAAUUGUUUUAAAUUUUUAAAUUUUUACAAUUUCUCCUAUUAAUAACUAUUGAUUCAAUAUCCAGUAAAAAUUUAAUUUAGCACGUAAUCCUUAUUCGACUUUGCAACCAAAGAAAACAAACAAAACUUCAUCGGUCAAUGGAAGCAUUUUCUUAGGACCUCACGGUUCACCCCCAAUGUUGAUGCAUGAUGGAUGAUUCUAUCAAGAUGAAUAUAGUUCAAGUUUUACCACCCCAUCAAAUCUAUCAUGAAAUUUCAUUUAUUCUUUUUUUUUUUUGUAGAUCUUAAUAUGUACUAUGAUUGAAAAAGAGAGAGAGAGAGAGAAUAGUAAAAUCCAUAUCUAAAAUGGUAUGUGGUAUGUAUAUAGUAGUACAUGAUCUAUAAUGGUAUGUAUAUGAUGUACAUGAUAUGAUCUAAGCUCUGCUUGUGCUACCUAUAUUUUAGUGUUAGUAUAUAAUUAGAAUUUAACUACCUUUAUUUUUUAAUUUGUUAAUUACCAAUCACUUUAAUAAAAUAUAAAACUUACUAGGGGUGGUAAUAUGGGUCAGGAUUCGUUUAUUCGAUUCGAUUCGAUGCGAAUUAAAUGGGUUUGGGUUUGAAAAAAAUUGAUUCGUUUAAUAAAUGGAUGAAUUCGAUUUGAUUCGUUAAUUAAACGAAUCGAAUGCGGGUUUGAAAAUUUACAUUCGUUUAUUCGUUUAGAAUUCAUUUAAUAAAUGGGUCAUAAACGAAUCGAAUACAGGUCGAUUCGUUUAUUAUUCGUUUAAUUAAAUUACUUUUUUAUCCUUAAAUUUAUUUGAAAGCUUUUUAAAAUUUGAAGGUUAAUAUUGUAAUUUUAAGCAAAUAACAAAAAAAAAAAAAACCAAAGUAGCGGAAACCCAAAUGCUAAAUCCCUAAAAAUUCUCCCCUCACUCAGCCGCUCUCGUUGCUCUAUGCCUCUCUCACACGAAUCACACUCACCCACCCAUACCAAGUGAAGCAAUCAAGCAACAAAAACAACCGCCGGUAGCCACUGUCAUUAACUCACAGGGAACUGACGAUUACAACCACCAUCGUUCAUCUAUCGUCGAUUGAGCUUGAGGGACGCAGCCACGCGAGUGCAGCCCGCGACUCGGCAGCAACCCAGGAGCAUCAGCUGCGCAACGUAUUAGCAGCCACUCGAACCCACAGUAGUGGCUAACCCGUGCGGCGGUGCAGCAGCAGCAAACCCAGGCGACUGCGACCCGAACUAGUGCCCAGGCGACCCGAAUCAACAAGCCAUCACCAACUCAGAGUAAUAUCAUGAGAUUAUGGUUGAAUUAUUGAGAAAUUUUGUAUUGUAGAAUAUUAUGAGAUUAUGGUUUAGAAAAUGUUUGGGAAAUUUACAAAAUUAGCCAUAAAACUUUUACGUUUUUCAACUUUAACCCCCCAAAGUUUUUUCUAUCAUAACUAGCCAAACACCUUAUGUUUGGACUACAUUACCCUCAUCACUUUCAUCAAAUUUACAAAGCCAUGCCACUUUUUCAAAUUUACAAAGCCAUGGCACCUGUUCCAUUGCUUGUCGCGCAAAAACCCAUGGAUUUUAUGGAGUACAUGAUUUUGGAUUUGAUUUGUCUCGUCGUAAGCUUCGAAACGGUAUAUUAUACGCCUAAAACGAACAUAUAUAGCUCAAGUUAUGGCUUUCGAAACAUAUAUGAAAUUUAGUGAGACAGGCAAGUGGGACAGGUGCUUGUCGCACAUAAACGCACUGCAUUUAUGUGCGAUAGGCACCUGUCCCACUGCUUGUCGCACAUAAACUCACGGCGUUUAUGGAAUGCAUGAUUUUGGAUUUGAUUUGUCUCGUCGUAAGCUUCGAAACGGUAUAUUAUACGCCUAAAACGGACAUAUAUAGCUCAAGUUAUGGCUUUCGAAACAUAUAUGAAAUUUAGUGAGACAGGCACCUGUCCCACUUGCCUGUCUCACUAAAUUUCAUAUAUGUUUCGAAAGCCAUAACUUGAGCUAUAUAUGUCCGUUUUAGGCGUAUAAUAUACCGUUUCGAAGCUUACGACGAGACAAAUCAAAUCCAAAAUCAUGCAUUCCAUAAACGUCGUGAGUUUAUGUGCGACAAGCAGUGGGACAGGUGCCUAUCGCACAUAAAUGCAGUGCGUUUAUGUGCGACAGGCACCUGUCCCACUUGCCUGUCUCACUAAAUUUCAUAUAUGUUUCGAAAGCCAUAACUUGAGCUAUAUAUGUUCGUUUUAGGCGUAUAAUAUACCGUUUCGAAGCUUACGACGAGACAAAUCAAAUCCAAAAUCAUGUACUCCAUAAAAUCCAUGGGUUUAUGCGCGACAAGCAAUGGAACAGGUGCCAUGGCUUUGUAAAUUUGAAAAAGUGGCAUGGCUUUGUAAAUUUGAUGAAAGUGAUGAGGGUAAUGUAGUCCAAACAUAAGGUGUUUGGCUAGUUAUGAUAGAAAAAACUUUGGGGGGUUAAAGUUGAAAAACGUAAAAGUUUUAUGGCUAAUUUUGUAAAUUUCCCAAAAUGUUUUGUAUUGUUCGGAAAAUAUUAUGAAAUUAUGUAUAAAUCGAUUAUGGUGUUAAAAAUUAUCUGUAGGAUAAGGAAGAAGCUCCCACAAAUAUUGGAUUAAAAUUUUUUUUAGUAUUAGAAUUUAUAAUUUAUUAUGUUGUAUUGUUAAUAUUUUGUGUAUUGGAAUAUUGUGCAUUAGGAAUAUUGCCGGGUUAGAAUUUGGCAUACAUGAUGAAUAGAUUCGUGGUCUUGGUAAUGGUGCUUGAAAGUGAUUAUGUAUGUUAAUUUCUCUGUUAGACUUUUUCUUUGAUUUAUUAGUUUAUGAACAUGAGCACUAAUUGUGCUCCAUCUGUAGAGAGUGCAAAUGAUCCAAAUGACAGUGUUAGGUAAGGUUUUUAUCUUGUUUAAUUAUUAUUUCCUUGAAAAUGCUACAAAUUUGCUAUAUAUUUGAUUUUUGAAAUUUUACAAUGACUAUUAUCAAUAUUGGAGCAUGUUAAUAACAUUUUAUUUAUUUUUUCGUGUAGGAUUUUUGUUUUCAAGGUGACAAAGACAAAUGAAAAGAAUUAAAGAAAUUACAUUUCUUUAUAAUUUCAAUUUGAAUUAUUGUUAUUUGUAAUAUUAAGGAUUUGGUAUUUGUUAUUUGGAUGACUGUAUAAUAUGAUUUGAAUUAUUUGUAUUUUGUUGUGGGAUAUUAAAUUUGUGUUUUUUUUGCUUAAUUUUGUUUAUUAAUUAUAUUUUUCUAAACGAAUUGUAAACGAAUCCUGAUUCGAUUCGAUUCGUUAUGGAUUCGUAAAGGAUAAACGAAUAAUAAACGAAUCCGGAUUCGAUUCGAUUCGUUUAUCAAUUCUAUUAAACGAAUUAAACGAAUUGAACCGAAUAUUCGUUUAAUAAACGAAUCGAAUCCGAAUCUUGAAAUUUCAAUUCUUUUAAUAAACGAAUCGAAUUCGAAUCCAUAGAAUUUUGACCCAAUUCAUUUACGAUUCGAUUCGAAUUCGAUUCGUUUAUUCGUUUUGCCACCCCUAAAACUUACUCAAAAGAAAAUCAUAUUAAGAGAGAAUCAUGAUCCAAUUAGAAGAGUAUGUUUCUUACAUUUCAUAAAUAUUUUUGAACAUCUUUUAAAAUUGUCGGUUCAUUUUAAGGUAAAAUUUCUAACUUUUUGUGGAUGAGUUUUCAUGACUAAUUUGCAUGCAUAUAUAUCUUAAUAAUAUUAAUCAAAUUGAUACGGUGUUCCAUUUGUUUGGAUGGUUAAGAAAAUCUAAGUUUCAGCACAAAUGAUCAUUGGGCUACAAAUCCAACGAUAGACUGGUACUCUCAAUUUAUUCUGCUACCAGAAGAUAGGCCGUCCAUGUGUACACUAUGAAAUGUAAUAUUUUUAUCAUAUUUAGGAGGAUAAACGUCUUAUUAUUUAAGAUAAUAAUUGUUAAUGUGUACAUUAUAAAUACUCAGCAUCUGGUUAUUCUAGAAGGCUCUUUGAUAGGAUUCUAUUGGUAUUUGAAAAAAAAUAUCAAUAUUCUCCCAGUUUAAUUAAUUUUUUUCCAAGAUGUUUAAUAAAUAAAUUUUAAGUAUAAAAAAAUAUUAAUAUUCUCCCAGUUUAAAAAAAUUCACAAAAAUAUUUUUUAUUUUUAAAAAUAAUUACACAAAUUUAUUUUUAUCUUUAUUUAAUUUGAAUUUAACUGCAAGAUUUUUAAAAAUUCAAAAGAAUUUAAAUUAAGAUAAGGUCUUAUCUUUUUAAAAAUAUAUAAAUUUAAUUUUUUAUUGAACAAUAGUUAUACAAUACCUUAUGAUAUUCUUUAUGUUAAAAAGUAAAAAAACAACAAAAUUCACAUUAGCCUUUAAAAUUUAUCAAAAAAAAUAUUUGUAAUUAUUUUUUAAAAAAAAUCAAAUUUUUGUGAUCAUUAAUUCCACCGAAUCAGCGCGCUGGGUUCUCAUUUUGCCGUAAGUCUCAUAAUGGUUGUUCGUGGUGUUGCUUUUGACAGGUAUCCACCUUUGAGUUUGCGACACUAGGAAUUGAAUAAUAAUAAUAAUAAUAAUGGUGAAGCUGACCCAAGAAGUAUCUCGCUGGUCCGCCAUGUCAUUGACGGUGGACAUCCCAUACAUAGCGCAUCCGUAUGUCACAUGUUAGCUCACUGAUUACUUCAGCAAAAUUUAUGACCCCCUCUCUCCACCUCCCUGCUGUCAGCCUGUUCCCGAUAAUUAUUAUUUUUGAGAUGCUCGAAAAUAAUUUUAAAGUUAAAAACUGAUUUUUUUUAUAUAUUAGGAAAAUUUAAAUUUAUUCAUAUUAAUUAUAAAAUAAAAUUAUUUUGAAGAGAUUAUUAUCAUUAUCAAUAAUAUUGAGAUAAAAAAUUAUUAUAUAUAUUAUGUUUAUUAAUAAUUAUUAUAUAUACACAAUAAAAAAUAUUAUACAUAUAUUAAAUAAAUUUUAUUUAAUAUUAUAUCUAAUUUAGAAAUUAUUAAAAUUUUAAUUUAUUCUUUUUUUCAAUAAAUUAUUUCUACAUCACAUCUAAUAAUAAUUAUUUUAAAAAUUAUAAUAUUAUCUAAUUAGUCUUCAUUAUAUAUAAUUUUUCUCGAUUAUGACAUCUUCACUUUAUUAAGGUGAAGAUAUUAACAAAAUAUAAAAAAAAAACACCGACUUUAAUGUAUUAAAAAAUUAAAAUUAUAUUUUUUUAUCCGUUAAUAACUUAAUAUAUUGAAAUCAUCACUAAAUCAGUUGUUAAAUCCAUAAUUACACAGUUACGUUAGCUAUAUCGGACUGCUGAAAGUAAAUGCGGUACCAUAUUAUAGUUGCAACAUAACUGAACCUCACUAAACAAUGAAUAUAUUAUAAAAUAAAAUAUAUUAUAUUAAAUUUUGUAUUUAUAUUUUUUAAUUUAUCUUCUCUUUAAUAUAAUAAAAAAUCUUGAUUAGAAACAUCUGUACACACAUUAACAUUCAUAUGAAGCAUAAACAAAAACUGGUACUUUUACUCGUCUCAUCACAUCAUUCAAACCACUAUAAUAAUGAUAACAUUGCCGUUCUCUCAUCCAAAAUGGCAAAAUCACCAGAAGAAGAACAUCCAGUAAAGGCCUUUGGGUGGGCAGCCCGAGACAGCUCCGGCCAUCUCUCCCCAUUCAACUUCUCCAGAAGGUAAUUAAUAGUUGAGCAUAAUAUAUAUGUGUGAUGCUGCUUUAAAUUUAUUUAAAAUUUUGUUACUGUACGUGUUGAUGAAAUGGUCAUAAACGUGGAUAUGUAAAAUACGGACAGGGAAACGGGUGAUGAGGAUGUGAGGCUGAAGGUAUUGUAUUGUGGGAUCUGCCAUACUGAUCUCCACAACAUCAAGAAUGAAUGGGGCUUCUCUCUCUUCCCUAUGGUUCCUGGGUAUGUACCCAUGAUCUAUCUACCCUUCAAUUUUUGUUUCUUUUGCAUUUUUUUUUGCAUUUGUUUUUGUUUCGGGUCAAACCCAGCUACGCAUGAACAGGCUGUUGUUUCCGUCACGGCGCUCCCUAAUUAUUAACUACGGUACUUGCCUGUGUAUACAGAAAGAGAUUAACCAAGGCCAAGGCUUUGGGAUCUUUUAAUUUGAUACAAAUCGUCCCCAAUCCUAUUUAAUUCUAUCUUAUAUAGAGGUGCUAGUGAAAUAUUGGUAACGAGGGUUUUAAUCUUACCGUUCCAUAUUUGAUGUGAUGAAUAACUGGAAUCUCCUGUUAAAAGUGGCAAACAUAUAUAUUUACGGGUCAUCAUCGUUUAAUAAGAUUUUCUUACAACAAAUUAAACAAAAAUAGAGACACACAAAUUUUAAUGUAAUAUAAAAUAAAAUAUAUUGGAUGAAAAUAUGUAUUUUUCUUAUACAUUAUCUUCAUAACUCUUGGUAGAUUUAUACUCUCUAUCUUAUAAAUAAAGGGUGGAAAUAACAAUUAACUCAAUUAAAGCGUUGUUAGCAUAGAUAUCUUUUUUUUUUCCCAAUAAAAUUAAUUUAUUUCCAUUUGACUCUGUACAAUUUUUAAAUAUUCCAGUGUAGUGGCCAGUGGGGUGCCUUGGCAUCAUUAGAGUGUUGAGAUCACACUAAAGACUUAACCCAUCAAAAUGGUACACCUGUGUAAUUGCGGAAUGGUCAAUUAUGAGAUUUUACUUGAGGGAUAGACGAGGUUGACAAAUAAACGGAGACAUGACUUGUAACUUGAAUUUGCAUUCAAAUGAAGACUUGUAAAUUUUCAAAUUUCAAAUUUCUUUGCUUGAAGAAUUUUAUGAUUGAGAAACUUACUGACAAAAGAAAAGUUGGUGGAGUGGUGUAGUAUAUACGUUUCCAGAAGCUAGCUAGUUAUAUAUUGUCAAAAACAGAAUCAAAUACCUUGUUUCCACUAAAGUAAUUUAUCAUAAACAAAUUGUAUUUAUUUGCAGGCAUGAAAUUGCAGGGGAAGUGACAGAAGUUGGUAGCAAAGUAAGAAAGGUUAAAGUGGGAGAUAAAGUUGGAGUUGGAUGCAUGGUUGGUGCAUGCCACAGCUGCGAGAGCUGUGCCAAUGACCUUGAAAAUUACUGUCCGAAAGUGAUACCCACCUACACUUCCAUUAACACUGACGGAACAAUCACAUACGGAGGCUACUCUGAUCACAUGGUUGCCAAUGAGCGCUACAUUGUUCGAUUCCCUGAUAGCAUGCCCCUUGAUGCUGCUGCUCCCCUGCUUUGCGCCGGGAUUACCGUGUACAGUCCAUUGAAAUACUUUGAACUAGCAGAACAAGGAAAGCAUGUAGGCAUCGUUGGCCUUGGCGGGCUUGGUCAUGUCGCUGUCAAAUUUGCCAAGGCUUUUGGGGCCAAAGUGACAGUAAUUAGCACCUCUCCAAGCAAGAAGACUGAAGCUCUUGAACAUCUUGGCGCUGAUUCAUUUUUGAAUAGCCGUGACCCUGACCAAUUGCAGGUAAUUUAAUUAGAUUCACGCAUAUAUUGGAGAAAAAUAAAAAAUAAAAUGCAUUCCUUAAUUUUAAUAUAUAUUUUGUAAUAACUUCAUCAGGGUGCCAUGGGCACAUUGGAUGGUAUUAUUGACACGGUGUCCGCUGUGCACCCCAUUUUGCCAUUGCUCGGUCUAUUAAAGUCCAAGGGCAAGCUUGUUCUGGUUGGUGUUCCGGACAAGCCACUCGAGCUACCUGUGAUUUCCUUAAUUAUGGGUAAGUUCUAACAAAAUUCUUCGGAAACUUGUGGUCUAAAACUUGUAAUUAAUAUAAGUCAUUUGAUAACAUAAAAUGACAUAGCAGGGAGGAAGACGGUGUCAGGGAGCAGCAUUGGGGGAAUGAAAGAGACGCAAGAGAUGAUUGAUUUUGCAGCAAAACACAAUAUAACAGCUGACAUUGAGGUUAUUUCGAUGGAUUAUGUCAAUACGGCAAUGGAGCGGCUUGCCAAGGCUGAUGUUCGGUAUCGAUUUGUCAUUGAUAUUGCAAACACCUUGGCUGCCACCAAACCUUGAAGAAUCAGAAUCAGAAUCAGAUUGGUGUCUUCAAUUCACAACUUUGUUCCAUGAUCCACUUUGCUAUAUGUAAUGCUCCCUCGAUCAUUACACUCUUUUAGCGCUUAAAUUACUUUUAAUUUUCAGAUACAUCGACCCUAAUUAUGUCGUGAUUGCCAAAAAAGUAUAAGGGUGCGUUUGGCACACUGUAUUAUAUUAUGUUGUAUUGUAUUAUUUUUAUGCUGGUGUGUUGCAUU